AUGACCAGGGUAUAUGUGUUCC
Molecule: microRNA, 22 nt
Filed under: Monodelphis domestica (gray short-tailed opossum)
Lineage: Eukaryota; Metazoa; Chordata; Mammalia; Didelphimorphia; Didelphidae
Description: mdo-miR-7395-3p
Source: miRBase by way of RNAcentral